This 494-nucleotide ribosomal RNA is filed under the name Simulium decuplum. Its description in RNAcentral is "partial 16S ribosomal RNA". It matches the Rfam family "Bacterial large subunit ribosomal RNA", at positions 1851 to 2601 of the family's 2925-position model. Lineage: Eukaryota; Metazoa; Arthropoda; Insecta; Diptera; Simuliidae. The record is from RNAcentral.
AGUCUGACCUGCCCACUGAAUAAAGUUUGAAGGGCCGCAGUAUUUUGACUGUGCAAAGGUAGCAUAAUCAUUAGUCUUUUAAUUGAAGGCUGGUAUGAAUGGUUGGAUGAGGUACAAGCUGUGUCAUAAAAAUUAAAAUUUGAAUUUAACUUUUUAGUCAAAAGGCUAAAAUAAUUUUAAAAGACGAGAAGACCCUAUAGAGCUUUAUAUAAUAAAUAUUUAAAUUAUUAAGAUUUUUAAAAUUUAAUUUUAAUAUUAUAUUUUGUUGGGGUGACAAUAAAAUUUAUAAAACUUUUAUUUAUAUUUAACAUUAAUUUAUGAUUACAUGAUCCAGUUUUAUUGAUUAUAAAUUUAAGUUACCUUAGGGAUAACAGCGUAAUUUUUUUUGAGAGUUCUUAUCGACAAAAAAGAUUGCGACCUCGAUGUUGGAUUAAGAGUAAUUUUGGGUGUAGAAGUUCAAAGUUUAAGUCUGUUCGACUUUUAAAUUCUUACAU